Molecule: long non-coding RNA, 5360 nt
Filed under: Sus scrofa (pig)
Lineage: Eukaryota; Metazoa; Chordata; Mammalia; Artiodactyla; Suidae
Description: lncRNA (ENSSSCG00000052987.1, ENSSSCG00130035054.1)
Source: RNAcentral
UAGCUGCAGAUGUGUCUAGCAUUAAGUCAGAAUGGUGUCAAGGGCCCUUCUUGAACACCGGCUGCUUCUCAGAGAGACUGGUCCUAAAGCCCUAGUCUAUUACAGUCCAUGCCCAAAAGGCAGGCGUUUAAGGCUUAAAGGAGGAUGGAGAAUAAAGCUGCAUUAGAUUUUUUAAUGUUUCUGAGUCAGGAGACCCAGGGGAAGAAAUUCUCUGGUGAUCCAAAUGUCCUUUCCUCUCCCCUCCCAUCACCAAUAGUCCUUUGGAUUUCCUGAUUAAGGUGCUGCCACAAUAGCUAUGAGGUCCUACCCUUGGGCUGCUUUCCUGAUAAACCAUCCAUCACGACUCCAGCCCAUUCUAGCUAUGGGAAAGCUAAGAUAGACUAAUGAACCCAUUAAAUUAAGAAAUGCGUAGGUUACAGGAAGUAAUGUGCCAAGGGAAGGCAUGAGACAGGGGGAAGGGAGAGCAGAGACUGAACCAACCUCUGAACAGAGUACUCAGUAUAAUGAAGUCUGCAAAUACAUUAGCUCCUCCAUCCCCAGCCCUGCAAAGAAGACACAUCCCCACCAUCAAUACGAUUGUUUAGAUUUUUUUUAAAAGCAAGAAAACAUUACAAUUGAUUUGAAAGCAUCCUUAAACUGGAAGAUCUGAAUGAAGGUAUUUUGUUUUAUUUAAAUUGGUGUAAGCCAAGUAAUACUUCUCCUAUUUCACUGAGAAAACCCAUUCACCUGUCACUGGGGGGUAAUCAAUUUUUUAUUCCUUUCCCUCUGUGUUCUCUUAAUCCUCUGUUAGCCUUGAAACAAGCAAAUGUCUACCUGGGGCAGGUUGCCAUGAGUUCCCAGAGGAUGCCUUUCCCGUCUACGGGGGAAACAGUUCUUAAGGCAGGAAAAUGGGAAUGCCGUUCCUUGUGUCAAACAAAUGACUCUUUGUUGACGCAUCCUACAUUUUCACCUGGCAGCAUCCCUGAUCCAGGAGAAAGGAACAUGCCACAAGGUUUUCCACCCUUUCCUGAGUCUCUUCCUUAGCAACAGAUGAGCAACGAGGGGCAGAGGUUGGCAUCCAUUCGUUCUGGAUCAUCUCUGUCCAAAACCACAAUGUAUUCCACAGAGGAAAUGUCAUUUGUUCUGUGAAACUGACAAAGGGGGAAAGCCUGAUUUCUCUGCCUCAGGAAACAUGAUGUUAUGGAAAAGCCUGGGUUUGAUUUUCUCUUUCACCUCGGUCCUGGUUGGAUCAUGUUUUUGACCCUCCUUUACUGCCAAUAACUUGCAGUGGAUGCCAAGUACCACCAAGGAGGAACAUUAAAUUAACCCAGGGUGGGAACUCCAGAAUCCUGGCUGGUAACACAAAUGAGUGGGGGGAGCAGGUGUACUACAGUAGUGAUCAGUGGGACCCGUGGUGAUUUAUUCAGCUUUGAGCCAAGUGUGGCCAUGUAGAAAUAUUUACCUGCAAUGCUGGAUCAUUUAAGUUGUUUUUUAAUGAGAGGAGAAAUCUAGAUUUUUAUUAUGGGCAAAAUCUCCAGAUUGUUGAAUACCGAGUAGAGGCCAAACAAAAUUCAGUUCCUACCUCAUCUAGCCCUUGGGGUGUGAUUUGUGAGUUCUGCUUUAGACCCAUUUACAGUGCAACUCAAAUGGGUAGUUAUCCGAUUAGAUUUGAAGAUGUUUGUUUGUUUGUUUGUUUUGGGUUUUUUUGCAUUUUAGGGCUGCACAUGCAGCACAUACCCACCUUAUACCAUAACCACAGCCAUGCCAAAUCCAAGUUAUGUCUGUGACCUACACCACAGCUCACAGCAACUCCAGAUCCUUAACCCAAUGAGCAAGGCCAGGGAUCAAACCCUCAUCCUUAUGGAUACUAGUCGGGUUUGUUACUGCUGAGCUGUAAUGGGAACUCCUGAUUGGAAGUUUUGAUGGAGAGAUUGAGCAUGGUGGAGAGGCAGCAUAAGGCCUGCCUAUAAUUGGGCCAGUUGAGGGAAAAUCCCACCUGCAUGACCACACAGGACUGCAGAUUGAGCAGAUCCCAGGACUGUACCUAUGGGAGUGGGUUCAAAGGCUUCUUAUUCUAAAAGUGGGGAAUAUGGGCACAGGUAGUGCCAAAAGACGUCUAAAACUAGGAAAUGUAGCUAAAGAGCUUAAAAAAGGUGACUCAUGAGUGCAGAAAGCCCAAAGUCUAACACCAAGGAUGCUGCUAUGUACUGAAUAAGUGUCUACCCCCCCUCCCCCAUUCAUAUGUUGAAGCUGGAAUUCCCAGUGCAAUGGUAUUUGAAGGUAGGGCCUUUUAGAGGUAAUUGGGUGGAUCUGCACCAGGUCAGGGGGGCAGAGCCCCCUUGGAAUUCGCUCUUUCUCCCCCCCCUCUCUCUUCUUCUCUCUCUCUCUCUCCCCUCUUCCCCUGUGCCAUGUAAAGAUACAAGAAAGCAGCCAUGUGUAAACCAGAAAGAGGGCCCUCAUGCUGUCACCCUGAUCUCAUACAACCAGGACUGUUGAGAAUGAAACAUCUGUUGUUUAAGCCACCCAGUCUAUGAGAUUCUGAUACAUCUGCCUGAACUGAUUAGGACAGACACUAAGCAGGAUUUAUCACACCUGCCAACUACAACUGACUAGAGUGCCAGGCUACAGGGGGCAGUGGUGGGGUGGGGGGGAAGCAGGGAGGACAGUGCUAAGGAAGUGGUAUCUCUAGGGCAGUGCCCUUGUCAUCCAUGGUCUGAAAGAGCCCAAGUUCAGAGGGCUUAGCAGACAGUUGGUUCUUGCUCAGGCAGGCCCGGUUUCCACUUCCACCACAUAACUGUGACCCCUCAAAGUUACCCUGCUUCAUAUCUUUAAGUCAUGUUUAGAGUGAGUCUAUAGAAUACAUCGGAACUGGGCCUUGCACGGUGCAUUUUGGAACAAUAAAGAACAUCUCCCACAUUGGAAAUAAUCUAAAAUACAGAGUCUAAAGUGAACGACUCAAAUUCUGAUUAUGGAGAAAAAUAUCGAGGGAUAACAUAUGUAAGGGUAUAUGGGCCCCAAAAUUGGCCCUUAAUAUUUAAACACUAGAAUCAUGAGAGUCUUCUCCCCAUUCUUUGGAAGCCCACUGAGGGGACACAGAAGGGCACUACUCACACACCCCUCCAGCACUGAGCAACUCACUCUGUAGCUGCUGGGAGUGGGGGAUGCUGCUGACUCAGAGCUGAGGCCUCCCCACACCCACCUUCAGGCAUGGAGCUGCCACUGGGCAUGGCCCCCACUCAAUGGCUGCUCAGAGGAAUGCUUCCCUUACCUCAACCAGGACAACCCUGAAGGGCCAUCCUCAUUUCAAAACUCCCCUAAGAUUGCCUGAAGCUGCUGCUACCCCAUCUUCCUUCUCUCUUCAUUCUGCACGUAAACCUCCAAAAUGUUUCCUGGAAAACUGACAUAUGACAUGGAUCUCAUUGAAAUACAGGAGAAUAAUAGAAUAUCAAAGAUGUUGUCUACUAAUUUUCAAUGAUGUUCACACCAAAGGAAUAAAAUUGCAACUUUAGAGAUGCGAAGACGAUGUUAUGUCAAUUUUAGUGAAAUACACUUCCAUUUGUCAAUAAUAUUCAGCUUUACCUAUGCGUAGGGAAUACAUGUCAUUUUAAUUUACCUAAGAUGCCUCUCUGUUAAGUUGAGGGACUCCUUCCCAUUCCAGUCAUGAGGUUUGAGGAGCAAGCACCCAAGUCCCUGGAGGCAGGAGGCAAGUGACCCUGGUCUGGCCAGUCCUGGUUCCCAACAUCUGGUCUAAAGUGAAGAGUACAAGAGAAGAGCACAUGGCCCAGACAGAGCCAAUGAGAGUUGUUCCAUGGAAUUGAACAGUACACACUAUGAAAGACAGGCCAGGUCUUCCUCUUACAUCAUAAACUAUGAUAAUAUAAGCCUGGAGCUGCCAUUGGCCAGGUACCUCACUGCCCAUCUACAGUAGAAGAGAAUAAGGUGAACACAAAGAGAAAAGUAGAGCCAAGAGAUGAAGCAAUAUGGAGAAGAAGACCAGGAGUUACCUUGUGGCACAGCAGGUUGCGGAUCCAGCAUUGUCACUGCAGCAGCUUAGGUUGCUGCUGUGACACGGGUUUGAUGCCUGGCCCAGGAACUUCUAUAAUGCUGUGGGUAGAGCCAAAAAAAGAGACAGACAAAGAGAGUGAGAAAAUCAUACUGUCUGCUCCCUUAGAUCCAAAUGUGCUUGGGGUCAGAACUAAUUUUAGACAUCCUAGUCACAUGAGCCAAAAAUAUUCCCCUUCAUUUUGCUCAAGCAACAUUGAGUUGGAAUGUCCAUCACUCGCAGCUGAAGGCGUUUUGACUAAUUUGCUGCAUGAAUCAUCCAGCAGGAUACAGAGUAAAACAAAACCAGAUAACCACCUUAAGGGCUAAGAGUGAAACAGAGGUCCCCAACAACAGAACCCAAGAGUUCUAUCAAAUCCAGCAGAGUCAGGCAGCCAUGAAGCAAAGAUGCAUUCUGGGGAAGCUCUUUAAAAGCACAAACCUAGGCACAAUAGAGACUAGAAAGCAGGCAGAAGUAAAAUGAUGUUUGCAGUGUAAGAAAAUCACUGAUGACCCACGAAAAUAAAAACAAGUAGGAUAAUAAAUACUGUGCCUGGUAUUCUUGUUGAGGUGAGGUCAGGGGAGAUGGAGAGGGGAGACCUGACAUUUGCUCAAGCUGAGAAGGCCGAUGGCAGUGAAGAAAGUUCCAGUCCAGGUGGGUAGUCUAGAGGAAGGGGCUCUCAUAGUCAAGUUAAUACAGAGCCUUCUGUGUCAACAAAGAAGUGGGUGGUAAGAGAGAGGCUUUAUGGUUUACCCACAUCCCUCAAUUCAUAAGCAGAGGCAGACUGGCUGUGAAGCUGACAGAAAUUAAGCUUUUGUGUCCCUCAAUUGCAAAAGUCCUGCCAAGGUCCUCUGGGGAGUUCUUGAGAUUUGUUUAUGUGGUCAUAUGUGUUUGCAAAAUUUGCAACCAUAAGCUAUCUUAGCCAUAGUUGAUUUACAAGUGGCUUAAGACACUGUCUCUUUCUAACCUGAUUGCCCCCCUUUCAUACUGACCCUUGCGUUGGGUGGUGUUAAGUGGUAAUGAGCAUCUUUGGGAUACAGCUAAGGGGAAGGUGAAUUGGGGGAUGCAUUUUGAUUAGGUUUGUUUAUAAUACUGUGUAGUUCAAGGUCUUUUCCAUGUACAGUUACACCAGUAUCACGUAUAGACCUGGUAUAGGAAUGUCUUGCAGGCAUAUAACUACACAAUUUGCUGGCUUAUAAAAAGUGCAGGGCAAGAGGUACUAAAGCCAUGUGACAUCACAGAUAUAUGAGUGAGGGGGCAGAAAUGUAUUCUGAAAUGUAUAGAGCCAGCAUUCUUCCCAAUAAUCACAUGUGGAAAAUCAUAAGAACAGGAUCUAGUU